Molecule: ribosomal RNA, 406 nt
Filed under: uncultured bacterium
Lineage: Bacteria
Description: partial 16S ribosomal RNA
Rfam family: Bacterial small subunit ribosomal RNA
Source: RNAcentral
AUUGAACGCUGGCGGCAGGCCUAACACAUGCAAGUCGAACGAGUGGCGGACGGGUGAGUAAUGUCUGGGCAACUGCCUGAUGGAGGGGGAUAACUACUGGAAACGGUAGCUAAUACCGCAUACCAUCGGAUGUGCCCAGAUGGGAUUCGCUAGUAGGGGGGGUAACGGCUCACCUAGGCGACGAUCCCUAGCUGGUCGGAGAGGAGGACCAGCCACACGGGAACGGAGACACGGCCCAGACUCCUACGGGAGGCAGCAGUGGGGAAGAUUGGACAAGGGGCGCAAGCCGGAUGCAGCCAUGCCGCGUGGAGGAAGAAGGCCUUCGGGUUGUAAAGUACUUUCAGCGGGGAGGCGUUACCCGAAGAAAAAGCACCGGCUAACUCCGUGCCAGCAGCCGCGGUAAUAC